Molecule: ribosomal RNA, 253 nt
Filed under: uncultured bacterium
Lineage: Bacteria
Description: partial 16S ribosomal RNA
Rfam family: Bacterial small subunit ribosomal RNA
Source: RNAcentral
UACGUAGGGUGCAAGCGUUGUCCGGAAUUAUUGGGCGUAAAGAGCUCGUAGGCGGUCUGUCGCGUCGGUUGUGAAAAUCCAGGGCUCAACCUGGGACCUGCAUUCGAUACGGGCAGACUAGAGUUCGGCAGGGGAGAGUGGAAUUCCUGGUGUAGCGGUGAAAUGCGCAGAUAUCAGGAGGAACACCGGUGGCGAAAGCGGCUCACUGGACCACAACUGACGCUGAGGCGCGAAAGCUAGGGGAGCAAACAGG